Molecule: non-coding RNA, 75 nt
Organism: Streptomyces zinciresistens K42
Lineage: Bacteria; Bacillati; Actinomycetota; Actinomycetes; Kitasatosporales; Streptomycetaceae
Rfam family: ASpks TB sRNA
Source: Rfam
CUUGAUGGAGCCCAGCCACAGCGGCUGGUCCUCCGGCCGUUCCUGGCCGUAGGUGGCCAGCAGGGCCUGCGCCUC